UUAACAUAUUUGAUCAGCUACCUACACAUCCAUUCUAGUCUCGAGGAAAUGGCCUCUCAAAAACCUACUUCGACAAGCCACUGAACCCGAACCUAUUAAUGAACUUAAUAUAUCAGAUUUAUACCCGUAUUGUUUCUUGUUCACGCUAGCAAUAAAAACCACGCAAUGCAGUUGGUUUCCAUAUUGUCUGGGAGGUAUACUGAAUUGAUA
Non-coding RNA from Cinara cedri, 210 nucleotides. The record is from the annotation of a GenBank genome assembly. Lineage: Eukaryota; Metazoa; Arthropoda; Insecta; Hemiptera; Aphididae.